GACCAAGAGUGUGGAGUACAUGCCUUUCUCUUUAUCAUUCUUUCUCACCUUGAGUGCAAUCAUGUGGUUCUUCUAUGGUUUUUUAAAGAAAGACCUUUUCGUUGCUAUUCCAAAUAUACUGGGGUUCAUAUUUGGUAUUCUCCAAAUGCUGCUCUAUGUUAUCUAUAGGAACCCCAAGAAAACCUUGGAGAAGCCAACACUUAAUGAAUCAUCUGAACACGUUAUUGAUGUAGCAAAGCUGGGUGCAACUAUUUGCUGCGAGCUUAACACUGCAGUGGCUGGACCCAAUAAUAUUGGCAAUGACCAUGUUGAAGAUAAAUAUGUCAAGGAGCAGUGCAAGCAAAUUAAUCAAGACAAGAAUGUCUCCGACACAGUUUAAGUUUUAACAACCAAAUUAAUGGACAAAGAUUUUUCUUUUUUUUUAGAAAAAUCAAUCCCUGCAGGAGUAUUGUCCAAUAAUACAUAUUGUCUCAGCUUGUCCCUAGUUAAAGAAAGUAACAAAGGCUUGUACUUCUAUGUAAUUUGGUUUCUCUAAUUAAAAAAAUAAGGCACUUCAUGAGAUGAAUACCAA
Molecule: unclassified non-coding RNA, 571 nt
Filed under: Hevea brasiliensis (rubber tree)
Lineage: Eukaryota; Viridiplantae; Streptophyta; Magnoliopsida; Malpighiales; Euphorbiaceae
Source: RNAcentral